GGGAUUGCCUUAGUAACGGCGAGUGAAGCGGCAACAGCUCAAAUUUGAAAUCUGGCUCCUUCGGGGUCCGAAUUGUAAUUUGUAGAGAGUGCUUCGGGCGAGGCCUCGGUCUAAGUCCAUUGGAACAUGGUGUCAUAGAGGGUGAGAAUCCCGUAUGCGACCGUGGCUCGAGCCCAUGUGAAGCCUCUUCGACGAGUCGAGUUGUUUGGGAAUGCAGCUCAAAAUGGGUGGUAAAUUUCAUCUAAAGCUAAAUACUGGCUGGAGACCGAUAGCGCACAAGUAGAGUGAUCGAAAGAUGAAAAGCACUUUGGAAAGAGAGUCAAACAGUACGUGAAAUUGUUGAAAGGGAAGCGCUUGCAACCAGACCUGCCCGUAGGCGAUCAGCCGCUGUUUUCAGCGGUGCACUCGCUCUGCGAUCAGGCCAGCAUCGGUUUCGGCGGUCGGAUAAAGGCCUUGGGAAUGUAGCUCCCCUCCGGGGGAGUCUUAUAGCCCUUGGUGCAAUGCGGCCAGCCGGGACCGAGGACCGCGCUUCGGCUAGGAUGCUGGCGUAAUGGUUGUAAGCGACCCGUCUUGAAACACGGACCAAGGAGUCUAACAUCUAUGCGAGUGUUUGGGUGUCAAACCCAUGCGCGGAAUGAAAGUGAACGGAGGUGAGAACCCUUAAGGGCGCAUCAUCGACCGAUCCAGAUGUCUUCGGAUGGAUUUGAGUAUGAGCAUAGCUGUUGGGACCCGAAAGAUGGUGAACUAUGCCUGAAUAGGGUGAAGCCAGAGGAAACUCUGGUGGAGGCUCGCAGCGGUUCUGACGUGCAAAUCGAUCGUCAAAUUUGGGUAUAGGGGCGAAAGACUAAUCGAACUA
This 856-nucleotide ribosomal RNA is filed under the name Xanthoparmelia pulloides. Its description in RNAcentral is "eukaryotic LSU rRNA". It matches the Rfam family "Eukaryotic large subunit ribosomal RNA", at positions 71 to 942 of the family's 3401-position model. Lineage: Eukaryota; Fungi; Ascomycota; Lecanoromycetes; Lecanorales; Parmeliaceae. The record is from RNAcentral.